This 231-nucleotide unclassified non-coding RNA is filed under the name fungal sp. RNAcentral's name for it is "partial internal transcribed spacer region". The stretch from base 1 to 48 matches the Rfam family "Eukaryotic small subunit ribosomal RNA", at positions 1784 to 1831 of the family's 1831-position model. The record is from RNAcentral. Lineage: Eukaryota; Fungi.
AAAAGUCGUAACAAGGUUUCCGUAGGUGAACCUGCGGAAGGAUCAUUAGCAAGUGCCGCACCAUGGAUUGCCGACAGGCGAUCCAUGUGUGCUGGACUACAUUUGUAACCAUGUGCGAAAGUGGGUGUUCCCUGGUCGAUGACUGGGGAGCACCACCACGACACGCUGGAUAGCCAAAUCAUAUACAAACAAAACCAAAAGAAACUUUUAACAAUGGAUCUCUUGGCUCUU